Molecule: long non-coding RNA, 1765 nt
Organism: Drosophila sulfurigaster albostrigata
Lineage: Eukaryota; Metazoa; Arthropoda; Insecta; Diptera; Drosophilidae
Exons: 4
Source: RefSeq, a predicted model, not a curated record
GUUCAGUGCGUGUAUCAAUAAAAAGUGUAUGAAAUGAAUAUAUAAUCGGUCGGUUAUUUGGUAUUCGGUGAAAUGUGAAAAUCGGAUCGCGAAAUGCAUUUACAUAAAUCGGUCGGUUAUACGUAAAAUCGGAUCGGGGAAUGCAUUUAAAUCGGUCGGUAAAAUCAUCAAAUCGGAUCGCGAAAUGCGUUUCAAUCGGAAAUCUCCCAUAAAGAGAAAUUCAUUGAGACCCUGUAGUGCAUUAUUUGCUUGUUGGGCCAAUGAUUGAGCUGUUUCCGGGCAUUUAUUGUCAUAGUAACAUAAUUGUCAGCUCUUAGCAGUGCAUGUGGAGCGACCUCACACAUUGCUAUAUUUGGCAAAUCUCAAGAUCUGCACAAUACUUGCCAUUGCUUCGAGGAAUGUGCUGAAUAAGAACAGAACGAGAACGAGAAUGAGAACAUCUCAAUCAAUGCAGCAAAUGCAAACGCUGCCUGGAGAGUUCGUCUUCAAGCCAACUGUCAAAACUGUGUUGGUCAGACAAUUGAGUUGAGUUGAUGACUCAAUGUUUGUCCUUUUAGGCCGCCACCCUGGGUGCAAUAGUCAAAACAAGGAGCAGCGUGCACACACGUGGAUUGUGGGUUGAAUUUACCAUCAUCCAAGUGACAAACAUGUGCAGCCAGAGUUCUAAUUUUUGGAGAUGGAGGAGCACGAGAAAUAGUAACAAAAAACAGAUGUUUGCCUUAUGUGUUUGUUUUUUUGUCUCUUCGAAAAUUAUGUAAAUGAGUUUCUAGCUCAUGAAUGGAACUCGACAAAAAUCGUCUUUCACAACGGAAUGCUCUUGAUUAUGCGAAGAUCGCUGGGGCUUAGGUUAACCGCAGUCACGACCAAAGCAAAGAAAAUAAUUCUACGUAUGCUAAGCGGGUUUUUUCUUUUUUUUGUUGGUUUUUGGAAAGUGUUAAACCCCGCCCCGUUCUUGUACUCCUGCUGAGUGCGGAGUACGAUUGUUGUAACCUGCUGCAGAGACAGAAAGAGCUGAGUGACCUGGUUUAAGCGCUUAAGGACUUAGGCACAAAGCGCACACUUAAGUGCCUCAUUGUCCAGUGAAGUGCAGCCACUCGAGGAUUCUUAAGUUGCGGCUAUAUCGAGCAUACAUAUAUCGGUUAUAUCGGCUUAGUGCUUAAGCCAUUCACCAAAUCGUUUAAUUGACACCGCAAAACCAACAAAAAGGAUUUCAAACCCAAGAUCAGUUGCAAGACGCAAGGUUUAACUUCGAGCCGAGGCAAACCGCAUUCAUGAAUGAAAACUACUUACAACUUGCGCUUACUACAAAACAAGGCCAAGAUUUCUCUCCGGCUUAAGCGUCUUAGAAAAUUAUGUGAGCUGCAAGUGAAUAGAAUGAACACAGCUUAAGCUAAGAAAAAAUUAAAUUUUCCAAGUGCUGCGCAUUUUUGAACUGAAAAUAAAGGCUGCUAGUUCAAAGCAUAAAGCAACGAGUUAAAUCAAACUGCUGCCAAAAGACAUUAACAAACUGGCGAGCAGAUCAACAGAUCAACUUAAGAUCGGGGCGCGCGAUCAACUGUUUUGGCUGAGAGAUACUACUACAGAUUCGCGCUGUGAUCAGAACCGAUCAGCGAUCAGCGGAUCAACGCAAUUAAAAUGUUAUCGCUGUUUGUUGUUAACGUUGACGAGCCACAGCGCAAAGACUUCCUGUGUGCUCCCAGUAAUACACUCUAUCCACAUCGUGGCAUAGGAGCCAAUGUGAUGGAGCUUGUCAGUGAGGAUAACG